CGGGACGGGUGAGUAAUGUCUGGGAAACUGCCUGAUGGAGGGGGGUAACUACUGGAAACGGUAGCUAAUACCGCAUAACGUCGCAAGACCGAAGAGGGGGACCUUCGGGCCUCUUGCCAUCGGAUGUGCCCAGAUGGGAUUAGCUAGUAGGUGGGGUAACGGCUCACCUAGGCGACGAUCCCUAGCUGGUCUGAGAGGAUGACCAGCCACACUGGAACUGAGACACGGUCCAG
This 233-nucleotide ribosomal RNA is filed under the name uncultured bacterium. RNAcentral describes it as "partial 16S ribosomal RNA". It matches the Rfam family "Bacterial small subunit ribosomal RNA", at positions 100 to 334 of the family's 1533-position model. The record is from RNAcentral.